AGCUUUACACAAUGGCGUAACUAAUAAAGUUCUACUGAGGUACGAUUAUUGCUAGUUGAAAAUUUUUACCAAUAUUCCGCCAUAACGAUGUGAAAUAUCAUUAGUUACGGCCAAUUUUUGAAAGUUUCUACGAAA
Solenopsis invicta (red fire ant) is the source of this 135-nucleotide non-coding RNA. The record is from Rfam. Lineage: Eukaryota; Metazoa; Arthropoda; Insecta; Hymenoptera; Formicidae.